GGGGUUGUACUGGUUUCGACGGGGGUUUAGAAAUUAUGUAAGCCAUCAGUGGAGCAGACCACUAUAAAACAUGUAACUUAAAUAUAAACGCAGACGAAAAUUACGCGUUCGCUGCCUAAUAUGGCGGCUGUCAGACCUUUGCUCCCCGCAGCUUAGGAUUCUGGCAUCGACUUGCGGGACACUCUGCGGCUUAAGCUUUGCGGUCGUAGAAAAUUCAUGAAGCUACCAAGAAGGAUAGCCUGUCUGUAGGCGAUUCUUCGAGGGAAUGUUAAAAUACAGACUAUGAUGGUAGAAAGCAUAAUGGAAGAGCCUUCGGACGCGGGUUCGAUUCCCGCCAGCUCCAU
This 344-nucleotide transfer-messenger RNA is filed under the name human gut metagenome. It matches the Rfam family "transfer-messenger RNA". From Rfam's summary of the family: Bacterial tmRNA, also known as 10Sa RNA or SsrA, is named for its dual tRNA and mRNA-like properties. Its role is to liberate the mRNA from a stalled ribosome. To accomplish this part of the tmRNA is used as a reading frame that ends in a translation stop signal. The record is from RNAcentral.